This 411-nucleotide ribosomal RNA is filed under the name Cryptosporidium parvum. RNAcentral's name for it is "SSU rRNA". It matches the Rfam family "Eukaryotic small subunit ribosomal RNA", at positions 636 to 1073 of the family's 1831-position model. Lineage: Eukaryota; Apicomplexa; Conoidasida; Eucoccidiorida; Cryptosporidiidae. The record is from RNAcentral.
GGAUUUCUGUUAAUAAUUUAUAUAAAAUAUUUUGAUGAAUAUUUAUAUAAUAUUAACAUAAUUCAUAUUACUAUAUAUUUUAGUAUAUGAAAUUUUACUUUGAGAAAAUUAGAGUGCUUAAAGCAGGCAUAUGCCUUGAAUACUCCAGCAUGGAAUAAUAUUAAAGAUUUUUAUCUUUCUUAUUGGUUCUAAGAUAAGAAUAAUGAUUAAUAGGGACAGUUGGGGGCAUUUGUAUUUAACAGUCAGAGGUGAAAUUCUUAGAUUUGUUAAAGACAAACUAAUGCGAAAGCAUUUGCCAAGGAUGUUUUCAUUAAUCAAGAACGAAAGUUAGGGGAUCGAAGACGAUCAGAUACCGUCGUAGUCUUAACCAUAAACUAUGCCAACUAAAGAUUGGAGGUUGUUCCUUACUCC